Molecule: ribosomal RNA, 726 nt
Filed under: Triticum aestivum (bread wheat)
Lineage: Eukaryota; Viridiplantae; Streptophyta; Magnoliopsida; Poales; Poaceae
Description: partial small subunit ribosomal RNA
Source: RNAcentral
AUGCGCCCCGGGGGGCACGGUAAGAAGAGCCGAGCAGAGAGGCUGCCUCCUCUGUCUGUCUGUCCGCUCUGCUCCGCUCGCCUCUUUCUUUCUUCGCCGGCAAGAAGAAGAAGACGCGCUCCCUCCCCCUCCGUCGCCGGCCGACACGCCAUGGCCGCCGGCCGGUUUCUGCCGCUGGCGGGCCGCCGCAUCAUCGCGGCCCUGUCCCAGCCGUCCGCCCCCUCUUCCCGCGGAAUUUUCUUCCCUUCUACUGCGACCGCAGGCUUGAGGUCCCUCCAAACGAUCAUCGAAGCGAGCAGCAAUGUGUCAAAUGAGCGUCGCCAUGACCUGGAGGAUCACAAGACCGGCACCCCGCCGCGGCCAGCUUCGGUCCCUGCGGCAGCGGAGUCGAGCUUCAAGGUCAGAGACGCGUCGACCCUGAAGAUCUCUCCGAGGCACGACAUGGCGAUGAUCUUCACGUGCAAGGUCUGCGAGACGAGGUCCGUGAAGAUGGCCAGCCGGGACUCGUACGACAACGGGGUGGUGGUCGCCCGCUGUGGGGGCUGCAACAACCUGCACCUGAUGGCGGACAGGCUCGGCUGGUUUGGCCAGCCGGGGAGCAUCGAGGACUUCCUGGCGGAUCAGGGGCAGGACGUGAAGAAAGGCGACACGGAUACUCUCAGCUUCACCCUGGAGGACCUGGCCGGGUCUCAGGUCAAAUCCAAGGAACCUUCUGGUGAAAAUUAG